GUUAUUAAAAACAUGGCUUUUUGAAAAUAAUUUAAGGUCUAACCUGCCCAAUGAAAAAUUCAAUGGCCGCAGUAUUUUAACUGUGCAAAGGUAGCAUAAUCAUUAGUUUCUUAAUUAGGGGCUUGUAUGAAGGGUUGAAUGAAAAAAUAGCUGUCUCUAUUUAAAUUAAUUAGAAUUUUAUUUUUAAGUUAAAAAGCUUAAAUUUGUAUUGAAGACGAGAAGACCCUAUAGAGUUUAAUAUUAAAAUUAUCUUGAAUUUUUAGUAUUUAAAAAUCUUGGUUUAUUUAGUAUUUGAUUGGGGUGAUUAAGAAAUUAAUUGAACUUUCUUUUUAUCUAAUCAUUGAUUUAUGAAUAAUUGAUCCUUUUUAAAAGAUUAUAAGAUAAAAUUACCUUAGGGAUAACAGCGUAAUUUUUUUUAAGAGCUCUAAUCGAAAAAAAAGAUUGCGACCUCGAUGUUGGAUUAAAAUGAAAUUUUGGCGUAGCAGUUAAAAGUUUUGGGUCUGUUCGACCUUUAAAAUUUUACAUGAUCUGAGUUUAAACCGGUAUGAGCCAGGU
Molecule: ribosomal RNA, 555 nt
Filed under: Anthonomus rectirostris
Lineage: Eukaryota; Metazoa; Arthropoda; Insecta; Coleoptera; Curculionidae
Description: partial 16S ribosomal RNA
Rfam family: Bacterial large subunit ribosomal RNA
Source: RNAcentral